UCCAACCUUCCCGAUACUCUUGGAUUAGCCUUCCGAAAGGGAGAUUAAUACAAGAUGGUGUUUCAAUUCCGCAUGUUAUUGAAACUAAAAAUUUAUCGGUAUCGGAUGGGGAUGCGUGACAUUAGGUAGUAGGUGAGGUAACGGCUCACCUAGCCUACGAUGUCUAGGGGUUCUGAGAGGAAGGUCCCCCACACUGGAACUGAGACACGGUCCAGACUCCUACGGGAGGCAGCAGUGAGGAAUAUUGGUCAAUGGUCGAGAGACUGAACCAGCCAUGCCGCGUGAAGGUCACGGCCCUAUGGGUCUUAAACUUCUUUUGCAAGGGAGCAAUAAGUCUCACGUGUGGGAUGAUGAGAGUACCUUGCGAAUAAGCAUCGGCUAACUCCGUG
Molecule: ribosomal RNA, 389 nt
Filed under: uncultured bacterium
Lineage: Bacteria
Description: bacterial SSU rRNA
Rfam family: Bacterial small subunit ribosomal RNA
Source: RNAcentral